UACGUAGGGUGCAAGCGUUAAUCGGAGUUACUGGGCGUAAAGCGUGCGCAGGCGGUUUUGUAAGUCAGAUGUGAAAUCCCCGGGCUUAACCUGGGAACUGCGUUUGAAACUACAAGGCUAGAGUGUGGCAGAGGGGGGUGGAAUUCCACGUGUAGCAGUGAAAUGCGUAGAGAUGUGGAGGAACACCGAUGGCGAAGGCAGCCCCCUGGGUUAACACUGACGCUCAGGCACGAAAGCGUGGGGAGCAAACAGG
Molecule: ribosomal RNA, 253 nt
Filed under: uncultured bacterium
Lineage: Bacteria
Description: partial 16S ribosomal RNA
Rfam family: Bacterial small subunit ribosomal RNA
Source: RNAcentral